RNAcentral lists this ribosomal RNA (476 nucleotides) under uncultured bacterium. RNAcentral describes it as "bacterial SSU rRNA". It matches the Rfam family "Bacterial small subunit ribosomal RNA", at positions 38 to 507 of the family's 1533-position model. The record is from RNAcentral.
GGCGGCAGGCUUAAUACAUGCAAGUCGAACGGUAACAUGUCGGAGCAAUCUGAUGAUGACGAGUGGCGCACGGGUGCGUAACGCGUAUGCAACCUACCCAUAACCGGAACAUAACGUUGAGAAAUCGGCGCUAAUAUUCCAUGUGUAUAUUUUGUGGCAUCAUAGAAUAUAUAAAGAUUAAUUGGUUAUGGAUGGGCAUGCGUAUCAUUAGCUAGUUGGUGGGGUAACGGCCUACCAAGGCUGCGAUGAUUAGGGGUUCUGAGAGGAUAACCCCCCACACUGGAACUGAGACACGGUCCAGACUCCUACGGGAGGCAGCAGUAGGGAAUAUUGGGCAAUGGAGGCAACUCUGACCCAGCCAUGCCGCGUGAAGGAAGACGGUCCUAUGGAUUGUAAACUUCUUUUAUCAUAGAGUAACCGCAGGGACGUGUCCCUGCCUGCAAGUAUAUGAUGAAUAAGCAUCGGCUAACUCCGUG